Molecule: ribosomal RNA, 795 nt
Filed under: uncultured bacterium
Lineage: Bacteria
Description: bacterial SSU rRNA
Rfam family: Bacterial small subunit ribosomal RNA
Source: RNAcentral
GGAUGUGAANUCCCCGGGCUCAACCUGGGAACUGCGUUNUGAACUGGGUGACUAGAGUGUGUCAGAGGGAGGUAGAAUUCCACGUGUAGCAGUGAAAUGCGUAGAGAUGUGGAGGAAUACCGAUGGCGAAGGCAGCCUCCUGGGAUAACACUGACGUUCAUGCCCGAAAGCGUGGGUAGCAAACAGGAUUAGAUACCCUGGUAGUCCACGCCCUAAACGAUGUCGAUUAGCUGUUGGGCAGCAUGACUGCUUAGUAGCGAAGCUAACGCGUGAAAUCGACCGCCUGGGGAGUACGGUCGCAAGAUUAAAACUCAAAGGAAUUGACGGGGACCCGCACAAGCGGUGGAUGAUGUGGAUUAAUUCGAUGCAACGCGAAGAACCUUACCUGGUCUUGACAUGUACGGAAUCCUCCAGAGACGGAGGAGUGCCUUCGGGAGCCGUAACACAGGUGCUGCAUGGCUGUCGUCAGCUCGUGUCGUGAGAUGUUGGGUUAAGUCCCGCAACGAGCGCAACCCUUGUCAUUAGUUGCCAUCAUUAAGUUGGGCACUCUAAUGAGACUGCCGGUGACAAGCCGGAGGAAGGUGGGGAUGACGUCAAGUCCUCAUGGCCCUUAUGACCAGGGCUUCACACGUCAUACAAUGGUCGGUACAGAGGGUAGCCAAGCCGCGAGGCGGAGCCAAUCUCACAAAACCGAUCGUAGUCCGGAUUGCACUCUGCAACUCGAGUGCAUGAAGUCGGAAUCGCUAGUAAUCGCAGGUCAGCAUACUGCGGUGAAUACGUUCCCGGGUCUUGUAC